UACGGAAGGCAGCAGUGGGGAAUAUUGCACAAUGGGCGAAAGCCUGAUGCAGCUAUGCCGCGUGUAUGAAGAAGGCCUUAGGGUUGUAAAGUACUUUCAUCGGGGAGGAAAAAACAAAACUAAUAAUUUUAUUUCUUGACGUUACCCGAAAAAGAAGCACCGGCUAACUCCGUGCCAGCAGCCGCGGUAAUACGGAGGGUGCUAGCGUUAAUCAGAAUUACUGGGCGUAAAGAGCACGUAGGUGGUUUUUUUAAGUCAGAUGUGAAAUCCCUGGGCUUAAACCUGGAACUGCAUUUUGAAACUGAAAUACUAGAGUAUCGUAGAGGGAGGUAGAAUUCUAGGUGUAGCGGUGAAAUGCGUAGAUAUCUGGAGGAAUACCUGUGGCGAAAGCGGCCUCCUAAACGAAUACUGACACUGAGGUGCGAAAAGCGUGGGGAGCAAAACAGGGAUUAGAUACC
This 458-nucleotide ribosomal RNA is filed under the name uncultured bacterium. Its description in RNAcentral is "bacterial SSU rRNA". It matches the Rfam family "Bacterial small subunit ribosomal RNA", at positions 340 to 786 of the family's 1533-position model. The record is from RNAcentral.